Molecule: ribosomal RNA, 503 nt
Filed under: uncultured bacterium
Lineage: Bacteria
Description: bacterial SSU rRNA
Rfam family: Bacterial small subunit ribosomal RNA
Source: RNAcentral
AACGAACGCUGGCGGCGUGGAUUAGGCAUGCAAGUCGUACGCGAACGCCACCUUCGGGUGGCUAGUAGAGUGGCGAACGGGUGAGUAACGCGUGAGAAACCUGCCCAGAAUGGGGGAUAACACUCCCAACGGGGUGCUAAUACCGCAUGUGAUGUGAGUCUCGCAUGGGUCACACAUCAAAGAUGGCCUCUACUUGUAAGCUAUCGUUUCUGGAUGGUCUCGCGUCCGAUUAGCUUGUUGGUGGGUAAAAGCCCACCAAGGCGACGAUCGGUAGCUGGUCUGAGAGGAUGGUCAGCCACACUGGGACUGAGAUACGGCCCAGACUCCUACGGGAGGCAGCAGUCGAGAGGCUUUGUCAAUGGGGGAAACCCUGAACAAGCGACGCCGCGUGGGGGAUGAAGGCCUUUGGGUUGUAAACCCCUUUCAGUGGGGACGAAAGGCAGACGGGUGAAUAAUCCGUUUGUUUGACGGUACCUACAGAAGAAGCUCCGGCUAACUCCGUG